GAAUUAGAGGAGUGCUUUUUUUGUCUUCGGUGACCUCUGUGAUUAUAGGGACGGCUUGAGAGGUACACGAGAAGACGAUUUGGCGUGCGGUGGUGCAGCAAGACGUCAUAUAGUGGGGCACCAUCACUACAUAUGGUAGGCGGGUGUUUGUUGGGAUUGACAAUGGGGAAGUGAAAAAAAUGAAGAUAUUAGUGAAGGAGGUGCAACAAAAGCUGAUUCGGCGGCAUCCCAUCGCCGUGCAUCAGAGAUGGUUGGAGGAGAGUAGGACCAGGGCAAAACUAAAAUCCGUUGAGCGAAUGGAGGGGACGAGUGCUAAAUGAAUGGAAGAAGAAGGUAUGCGUAACCACUGUCACUUCACUAACAUUCUCGUAUUUAAAGGUUGAGGGUAAUCUCAACUUGCAUAUUACAUAGCAUCAAGCCAAGCACGUGAAAACGUUUACUUUGCCAUGAUAUUAUUAAAAGAUAAUUGACCUAGUUUAUAAGAAAAAUUAGGAGGAAAAAACUAUGCAACUAGAGGUAGAAUUCCUGUAUAACUUUGGUUAUUCGGACCAUCCCCGUAUGACUUCGGUACACCGACCGUACAACUAGGGAUGCCACAUAAAUACAUCCCCACGCAACUUCGGUUCAUAGACCAUAUAACAAACCAAACGACUUCCUCAGACCUUAGAACAUCUCCAACCCUUGACAUAUUAGUGGAAUCAAUAUUUUAAAUGAUGAACUAUGUAAAAACAUCUCACUAGCGCAUGGCGAAGAGCUAAGCUCGCAUAUCUCCCGAUACUCCCCCAUCUCACAGCACGAGCUCUAAGCUGUCAUGUUGUGGAUGCUCCCUCUUCUC
Molecule: long non-coding RNA, 835 nt
Filed under: Setaria viridis
Lineage: Eukaryota; Viridiplantae; Streptophyta; Magnoliopsida; Poales; Poaceae
Description: long non-coding RNA (SVIR_LNC002050)
Source: RNAcentral